UCUCCAUUCCUCGCGCUCUCUCAUCGGUCAGGGUGUCGAGAGAGUACGGGAAAUGAAGAGA
RNAcentral lists this microRNA precursor (61 nucleotides) under Pristionchus pacificus. RNAcentral's name for it is "mir-8364 microRNA precursor family". It matches the Rfam family "mir-8364 microRNA precursor family". The record is from Rfam by way of RNAcentral. Lineage: Eukaryota; Metazoa; Nematoda; Chromadorea; Rhabditida; Neodiplogasteridae.